CUGCUCACCGUAAGGCUAAGGUUUCCGGGGCCACGUUGAUCGUCCCCGGGUUAGUCGGUCCUAAGGCGAGGCCGGAAGGCGUAGUCGAUGGAUAACAGGUUGAUAUUCCUGUACCGCGGAUAGCACGUUUGCACGUGCGGAGGGACGCGGAACGGUAGCUUGGGCGGGACACUGGUUUGCCCGUCGAAAUGUCUAGCCAGGAGUGGUUGGUAAGUCCGCCAUUCCGUUAACGUGAAGCAUGAGAAAGGCAGCUCCUUCGGGAGCAGGCCGAUCCAAGUGAGCCGAUCCGACAAGAAAAUCUCCGUGCGAAGUUCUAUACGCGACCGUACCGCAAACCGACACCGGUAGCCGGGUCGAGCAGACCAAGGUGAUCGAGAUACCCCUCCCUAAGGAACUCGGCAAAACAGCAGCCGUAACUUCGGGAUAAGGCUUGGUGUAUCCGUUUUUCGGGUACACCCGCAGCGAAAGAGUCCAGGCGACUGUUUAUCAAAAACACAGGUCUCCGCAAACUCGUAAGAGGAUGUAUGGGGACUGACGCCUGCCCAAUGCCAGAAGGUUAACGGCGCCCCUUUACGGGUGGUGCCCGAAGCCCUGGUGAAUGGCGGCCGUAACUAUAACGGUCCUAAGGUAGCGAAAUUCCUUGUCGGGUAAGUUCCGACCCGCACGAAUGGCGUAACGAUUUGGACACUGUCUCAGGGAGGGCCUCGGUGAAAUUGCAAUAUCGGUAAAGAUGCCGAUUACCCAUAGUAAGACGGAAAGACCCCGUGGAGCUUUACUACAGCUUGACAUUGCGUACGUGUCGCGUGCGUGCAGGAUAGGUGGGAGACUUCGAAGCGGCCGCGCCAGCGGCCGUGGAGUCACCCUUGAGAUACCACCCUUACGCGAUAUGUGCGCUCACCAGCAGGUUAUACCACCUGUCUGGGACCGUGUCUGGUGGGUAGUUUAACUGGGGCGGUUGCCUCCUAAAUGGUAACGGAGGCGUUCAAAGGUCGGCUUAGUCCGGAUGGAAAUCGGACUGGACGUGCAAACGCAUAUGCCGGCUUGACUGCAAGGCCUACAAGCCAAGCAGGGUCGAAAGACGGAGUUAGUGAUCCGACGACACAGUGUGGAUUGGUCGUCGCUCAACGGAUAAAAGUUACCCCGGGGAUAACAGGCUUAUUGCUUCCAAGAGUUCACAUCGACGAAGCAGUUUGGCACCUUAAGACAUUGGGGUGCUGCGGGAGCAAUCCCGUACCAACAAUGUGGCUUAUAACGGUGAACCCCUACCGCUUGCUAGCUUAUAUCGUGAAACGAUAGAAUUAAGUUAUCAGGCAAGGGCAAUACCGUGGGAAGUCUAACGUCAACACAACACGCUAUUUUGGUGGGCAGCUUGCUCGGCGAUGGCACGCUUCGCAAGCAGGGCACUCGUACGAAUGCCUUGCUCGAGGUGAAUCACGCCGCCAAGCACCGGAUGUACGUCGAUUGGAAGUGGAAUCACUUCCGCGACUACGUCCUGACCCCACCGAAACAGCGCCUGAGUAAUGGAGGGCGGAUUGCCUACCGCUUUACGACUCGCAGCCUACCGGUAUUUACGGACUACUAUAAGUGGUUUUACCGGUCCGGCUGCAAACAGAUUCCUCAAGGCCUGCGCCUGGAUCCGUUGAUCCUGGCGGUCUGGUUCAUGGAUGAUGGAGCGAAGAGUCGUUCAGCAUGCUAUCUCAACACCCAGCAAUUCAGCUUGGCAGAACAGCGGUUUCUGCAAGCGCUACUGGAACGAGAUUUGGGCAUACGCUCCGCGCUCAACCGCGAUAAACACUAUUGGCGGUUACGCAUUACGAGUGCCAGUACGAUCAAGAUGCGGCCCCUCGUGGAGCCGCACGUACUGCCGCUGUUCAGGUACAAGUUGACUAAUGACCCCGUAACGACUGAACCGAAAGGUGAGAGCUUGCUCUUCUGAGUGAGCUCAUACGCCACCUCCAACCACGAAAAAUCCCAUGGAUACGGCCUUUGGCCUACGUCCGGGCGGUUGGAUGAAGAUAUAGUCUGCGCCAUCAGUAAUGGUGGAUUGUAUAGCGAUGUCGGCUCGUCGCAUCCUGGGGGAGGAGCAUCUCCCAAGGGUUUGGCUGUUCGCCAAUUAAAGCGGUACGCGAGCUGGGUUCAGAACGUCGUAAGACAGUUCGGUCCCUAUCUACUAUGGGCGUUUGGAAACUUGAGGAAUGUCACUCCUAGUACGAGAGGACCGGAGUGAACGAACCGCUGGUGUACCGGUUGUCGUACCAACGGCACCGCCGGGUAGCUAUGUUCGGACGGGAUAACCGCUGAAAGCAUCUAAGCGGGAAGCCCUCUCCAAGAUGAGGUUUCCAUGUCCCGAUUUAUCGGGCGUGAGGUCCCAGGGAGAUAACCUGGUUGAUAGGCGUCAGGUGUACGCGUCGUGAGACGCUCAGCCGAGACGUACUAAUGACCGAUCGCAUGCACUCA
This 2457-nucleotide ribosomal RNA is filed under the name bacterium. RNAcentral describes it as "partial 23S ribosomal RNA". It matches the Rfam family "Bacterial large subunit ribosomal RNA", at positions 1330 to 2925 of the family's 2925-position model. The record is from RNAcentral.